AGACGCCAGCCCUGUUUAAUUUGUGCAUCAUCUAUUCAGGUUUUGUUUUAUUUUAAUGGUGAUGGUAAAUGGAGUUCCCACAUCUACAAUUCAGAACACAGAACCCAAGCAGAUACGUUAAAGUUAGAUGAUUAUUUCUAAAAUAUUAUUUUCUUUUUCAUUAUAGAGGCAGUAGUAGGUGCUUAUGUAGAGAAAGUAGAAAAGCACUUAAAAAGAAAAUCAAGGCCGGGUGCGGUGGCUUACUCCUGUAAUCACAGCACUUUGAGAGGCCAAGGAGGGCGCAUCACCUGAGGUCAGGAGUUCGAGACCAGCCUGGCCGACUUGGCCUCUCUACUAAACCCCCCUCUCUACUAAAAAUACAAAAAUUAUCUAGGCCUGGUGGCGUGUGCCUGUAGUCCCAGCUACUCCGGGAGGCUGAGGCAGGAGAAUCGCUUGAACCCAGGAGGUGGAGGUUGCAGUGAGCCAAGAUCGUACCACCACACUCCAAACUGGGUGACAGAAUGGGAUUCUGUUCCCACCACCAAAAAAAUAAAUAAAAAGAAAAGAAAAUCAAGGCCUGGCGCAGUGGCUCACCUGUAAUCCCAGCACUUUGGGAGGCCAAGUCGGGCAGAUCACGAGGUCAGGAGAUCAAGACCAUCUUGGCUAACAUGGUGAAACCCCGUCUCUACUAAAAAUUACAAAAAAUGAGCUGGGCGUGGUGGCAGGCGCCUGUAGUCCCAGCUACUUGGGAGGCUGAGGCAGGAGAAUGGCAUGAACCUGGGGGUCAGAGGUUACAGUGAGCUGAGAUCACGCCACUGCACUCCAGCCUGGGCAACAGAGCGAGACUCCGUCUCAAAAAAAGAAAAAAGAAAAUCAAAAGCUCAUUGCAGCCGGGUGCGGUGGCUCACGCCUGUAAUCGCAGCAUUUUGGGAGGCCGAGGCGGGCAGAUCACCUGAGGUCGGGAGUUCUAGACCAGCCUGACUAGCAUGGUGAAACCCCGUCUCUACUGAAAAUACAAAAAUUAGCUGGGCAUAGUGGCGGGUGCGUGUAAUCCCAGCUACUCGGGAGGCUGAGGCAGGAGAAUCGCUUCAACCUGGGAGGCAGAGAUUGCGGUGAGCCAAGACUGCACCAUUGCACUCCAGCCUGGGUGACAAAGCAAGACUGUAGCUCAAGAAAAAAAAAAAAAAUAGGUUAGUGGACUAAUGAGUUAUCAUAGGAGUGGGACUAGCGGCUUUAUAAGAAGAGAAAGAGACCUGAGCUAGCAGGUUAGCAUGCUCAGCCCCCUGGCCAUGUGAUGCCUUGCACCACCGUGGGACUCUGUCGAAAGUACCUAUCAGCAAAGAAGGCUCUCACCAGUUGCAGCUCCUUGAUCUUGGCCUUCUCAGCCUUCAUUAACUGUAAGAAAUAAAUUCCUUUCUUUAUCAAUUACCCAGUUUCAAGUAUUGUGUUAUAAGCAACAGAAAACAAAGACAGUAGUACAGUUAACAAGGAAGUUAACAUAUAGUACUCUUAUGAAUCUGUUGACUUUGUUGAAAAUCCAUCAGUUGUUCCAGUAGUAUUCCUUAUAGUAAAAGACAAGAGUGUUUUCCUGAUCCCAGAUGUCAUACUGUUAACAUGUUUAGCAACCUAUAAUCAGGAAUAUUUCCUCAGUCUGUUUCAUGCCUUUGUACUCUUCAAAAAUAAGUACAGGUCUUUGAUGGCUUAUUUUAUGUUCAUUAGUUUGAGUUUGGUGGUUUUUCAUGAUUAAAUAUAGGUUGUGCAUUUUGGCAUGAGUGCCUCAAAAAGAAAUGUUGAGUUCUCAGAGUGUCAGGAGGGACAUGGUAUCAUUUCAUUCCAUUAAUGGUGAUACUACCUUGAUUCCUUGGUUAAGGUGGUAUCAGCCAGGUUUCUACAAUAUAAAGUUACUUUUUUUCCUCUGUCAUCAAUAAGUAUCAUGUGGGGAGAAAAGAAAAAAGCUCGUUACUGCCUGGUGCGGUGGCUCACACCUGUAAUCUCAGCACUUUGGGAGACUGAGGCGGGCGGAUCACCUGAGGUCGAGAGUUCGAGACCAGCCUAACCAACAUGGAGAAACCCUGUCUCUACUAAAAAUAAGAAUUAGCCGGGCAUGGGGGCACAUGCCUGUAAUCCCAGCUACUUAGGAGGCUGAGGCAGGAGAAUCCCUUGAACCUGGGAGGCGGAGGUUGCAGUGAGCCAAGAUUGUGCCACUGCACUCCAGCUUGGGAACAAGAGCAAAACUCCACCUCAAAAACCAAAAAAAAACAAUAAAUAACAAGAAAUAAUAAUAAAAUCUUUUAAGUUCCAUAAAGUAGAAAUACAUUACAGUCAAUACAUUGUGAUUACAAUGCAAUAAAACUAAAGAUUAUUUAAAAGACCCUUCUAUAUGAGGGGAGGGACAAGUGGAAACAGAUGAAAAGGUAAAUUAAAAUCAAGAUUAUAGAAUAUUAAAAAGUAAGGCUGGGACCAGGCACAGUGGCUCAUGCCUGUAAUCCCAGCACUUUGGGAGGCCGAGGCGGGCAGAUCGCGAGGUCAGGAGUUUGAGACCAGCCUGACCAACAUGGUGAAACCCUGUCUCUACUAAAAAUACAAAAAUUAGCUAAGCAUGGUGGCACACUCCUGUAAUCCUAGCUACCCAGGAGGCUGAGGCAGGAGAAUCGCUUGAACCGGGGAGGCAGAGGUUGCAGUGAGCCGAGAUUGCACCAUUGCACUCCGGCCUGACAACAUAGUGCAAUGUCUCAAAAAAAAAAAAAAAAGGCCGGGUGCAGUGGCUCACGCCUGUAAUCCCAGCACUUUGGGAAGCUGAGGCAGAUGGAUCAUCUGAGGUCAGGAGUUCAAGACCAGCCUGGCCAACUUUAGUAGCAAUGGCAAAGCCCCGUCUCUACUAAAAGUAAAAAAAUUAGCUGGGUAUGGUGGUGUGCACCCGGGAUUGCAGCUACAUGGGAGGCUGAGGCAGGAGAAUCACUUGAACCUGGGAGGUGGAGGUUGCAAUGAGCUGAGAUGGUGCAACUGCACUCCAACCUGGGCAACAGACUCCAUUUCAAAAAAGAAUAUUAAAAAAUAAUGAUAAGGGUCGGGUGUGGUGGCUCAUGCCUAUAUUCCCAAGCACUUUGGGAGGCCAAGGCGGACAGAUCACGAGGUCAGGAGAUCAAGACCAUCCUGGCCAACGUGGUGAAAUCCCGUCUAUUAAAAACACAAAAGUUAGCUGGGCAUGGUAGCAGGUGCCUGUAAUCCCACCUACUUGGGAGGCUGAGGCAGGAGAAUCACUUGACCCUGGGAGUCAGAGGUUGCAGUGAGCCGGGAUCGUGCCACUGCACUCCAGCCUGGGCAACAGAGCGAGACUGUCUCACACACACAAAAAAAAUAAU
Molecule: long non-coding RNA, 3341 nt
Organism: Symphalangus syndactylus (siamang)
Lineage: Eukaryota; Metazoa; Chordata; Mammalia; Primates; Hylobatidae
Source: RefSeq, a predicted model, not a curated record